Molecule: long non-coding RNA, 459 nt
Filed under: Fukomys damarensis (Damara mole-rat)
Lineage: Eukaryota; Metazoa; Chordata; Mammalia; Rodentia; Bathyergidae
Description: lncRNA (ENSFDAG00000028186.1)
Source: RNAcentral
CUGGGCUUCCAGACUCUUAUAGCUGUGGCCACUGUAAGGCCCGUGCUCCCCUUUCUGAGGCCAGCCUGGAGCUCACUGCAUCAGCUGGAGGCAGGACUAGCUUUUCCCGGAACAGGGGAGGAAGUGAUGGGGGAAGUUGGGCAUGGGGCUGGAUGGGAAGCCUGCCAGCUUCCGGGGCCACUCUGGUCAGCUUUCACACAGAGCCACGGUGGAUUCUCCGAAGAGCAGACUACUACACUAGUAUUCCCGACCAAGGCACCCAGGUCGAAGAAGGAGGCUACCCCAAGCAGGCACCAAGCAGCAGCUUGACUUCAGGUAACCCGAAAGAAUUGCUGAGCGUCCUGGGGUCAAGGGCACCAGCCGCCAAAGGGAAAAGCUUCCCUCUAUCUGGCAUUGUAAGCAGCUGCAGGAAGAGCUGGGCCUUUGCUGAGGCAGGCACGUGGAACUGAAAUGACCCCA